This 338-nucleotide ribosomal RNA is filed under the name Escherichia coli. RNAcentral's name for it is "bacterial SSU rRNA". It matches the Rfam family "Bacterial small subunit ribosomal RNA", at positions 1208 to 1533 of the family's 1533-position model. Lineage: Bacteria; Pseudomonadati; Pseudomonadota; Gammaproteobacteria; Enterobacterales; Enterobacteriaceae. RNAcentral also lists the same sequence under 1 other name. The record is from RNAcentral.
CCAGGGCUACACACGUGCUACAAUGGCGCAUACAAAGAGAAGCGACCUCGCGAGAGCAAGCGGACCUCAUAAAGUGCGUCGUAGUCCGGAUUGGAGUCUGCAACUCGACUCCAUGAAGUCGGAAUCGCUAGUAAUCGUGGAUCAGAAUGCCACGGUGAAUACGUUCCCGGGCCUUGUACACACCGCCCGUCACACCAUGGGAGUGGGUUGCAAAAGAAGUAGGUAGCUUAACCUUCGGGAGGGCGCUUACCACUUUGUGAUUCAUGACUGGGGUGAAGUCGUAACAAGGUAACCGUAGGGGAACCUGCGGUUGGAUCACCUCCUUACCUUAAAGAAGC